AGCAGCCGCGGUAAUUCCAGCUCCAAUAGCGUAUAUUAAAGUUGUUGCAGUUAAAAAGCUCGUAGUUGAAUUUCGGGGUCAGUGAGUUGGUCGUGCCACUGGUAUGCACUGGCUUUACUGAUUCCUCCUUCUUGAAGAACUGUAAUGCUAUUAAUUUAGUGUUGCAGGGAAACAGGACUGUUACUUUGAAAAAUUAGAGUGUUUAAAGCAGGCUAACGCUUGAAUACAUUAGCAUGGAAUAAUGAAAUAGGACGUUUGAUCCUAUUUUGUUGGUUUCUAGGAUUGACGUAAUGAUUAAUAGGGAUAGUUGGGGGCAUUAGUAUUCAAUUGUCAGAGGUGAAAUUCUUGGAUUUAUUGAAGACUGACUACUGCGAAAGCAUUUGCCAAGGAUGUUUUCAUUAAUCAAGAACGAAAGUUAGGGGAUCGAAGACGAUCAGAUACCGUCGUAGU
This 450-nucleotide ribosomal RNA is filed under the name uncultured Glomus. RNAcentral's name for it is "SSU rRNA". It matches the Rfam family "Eukaryotic small subunit ribosomal RNA", at positions 569 to 1024 of the family's 1831-position model. Lineage: Eukaryota; Fungi; Glomeromycota; Glomeromycetes; Glomerales; Glomeraceae. RNAcentral also lists the same sequence under 1 other name. The record is from RNAcentral.